ACGCACGCUGGCGGCGUGCUUCACACCUGCAAGUCGCACGGGCCCGCUCUCUUUUUUGGGGGUGGGUUGAGUGGCGAACGGGUGAGUAUCACGUGAGUAACCUGCCCCCUGCUCCUGGAUAACUGCUUGAAAGGGCGGCUAAUACGGGGUGUGCCGGCUGGUCCGCAUGGGCCUGGUCGGGAUAGUUUCAUCUUCGGGUGUUUCGGUGGGGGAUGGGCUCGCGGCCUAUCAGCUUGUUGGUGGGGUGAUGGCCCACCAAGGCGGUGACGGGUAGCCGGCCUGAGAGGGUGGGCGGCCACACUGGGACUGAGACACGGCCCAGACUCCUGCGGGAGGCAGCAGUGGGGGGUAUUGCACAAUGGGCGGAAGCCUGAUGCAGCGACGUCGCGUGAGGGAUGGAGGCCUUCGGGUUGUGAACCUCUUUCUCCGGUGGUGAAGGCCCUGUCCGUUGCGGCGGGGUUGACGGUAGCCGGGGAUGAAGCGCCGGCUAACUACGUG
This 498-nucleotide ribosomal RNA is filed under the name uncultured bacterium. RNAcentral describes it as "partial 16S ribosomal RNA". It matches the Rfam family "Bacterial small subunit ribosomal RNA", at positions 29 to 507 of the family's 1533-position model. The record is from RNAcentral.